AGUGAACGCUGGCGGUAGGCCUAACACAUGCAAGUCGAACGGCAGCACAGUAAGAGCUUGCUCUUACGGGUGGCGAGUGGCGGACGGGUGAGGAAUACAUCGGAAUCUACUUUUUCGUGGGGGAUAACGUAGGGAAACUUACGCUAAUACCGCAUACGACCUACGGGUGAAAGCAGGGGAUCUUCGGACCUUGCGCGAUUGAAUGAGCCGAUGUCGGAUUAGCUAGUUGGCGGGGUAAAGGCCCACCAAGGCGACGAUCCGUAGCUGGUCUGAGAGGAUGAUCAGCCACACUGGAACUGAGACACGGUCCAGACUCCUACGGGAGGCAGCAGUGGGGAAUAUUGGACAAUGGGCGAAAGCCUGAUCCAGCCAUACCGCGUGGGUGAAGAAGGCCUUCGGGUUGUAAAGCCCUUUUGUUGGGAAAGAAAAGCAGCAGGUGAAUACCCCGCUGUCCUGACGGUACCCAAAGAAUAAGCACCGGCUAACUUCGUG
RNAcentral lists this ribosomal RNA (492 nucleotides) under uncultured bacterium. RNAcentral's name for it is "partial 16S ribosomal RNA". It matches the Rfam family "Bacterial small subunit ribosomal RNA", at positions 29 to 507 of the family's 1533-position model. The record is from RNAcentral.